GGGAAGGAAGGAGAGGGAAGGAAAGAGGUAGGGAGAGAGAGAAGUAUGGAGUAGGGAGGGGGGAGGGAGGGAUGGAGAGGGAAUGAAAGAGGUAGGGAGAGAGAGUAUGGAGUAGGGAGGGAGGGAGGGAGGGAAGGAAGGAGAGGGAAGGAAAGAGGUAGGGAGAGAGAGGUAGAGGGACAGAGUAGAGAGAGAGGUAGAGGAACAGAGAGUAGAGAGAGGUAGAGGUAGAGGAACAGAGAGUAGAGAGAGGUAGAGGGACAGAGAGUAGAGAGAGAGGUAGAGGGACAGAUAGUAGAGAGAGAGAGGUAGAGGGACAGAGAGUAGAGAGAGAGGUAGAGGUAGAGGAACAGAGAGUAGAGAGAGGUAGAGGUAGAGGGACAGAGAGUAGAGAGAGAGGUAGAGGGACAGAGAGUAGAGAGAGAGGUAGAGGGACAGAUAGUAGAGAGAGAGAGGUAGAGGAACAGAGAGUAGAAAGAGAGGUAGAGGAACAGAGAGUAGAGAGAGAGGUAGAGGGACAGAGAGUAGAGAGAGAGAGGUAGAGGAACAGAGAGUAGAGAGAGAGGGGUAGAGGGACAGAGAGUAGAGAGAGCGAGAGAGGUAGAGGGACAGAGAGUAGAGAGAGAGAGAGGUAGAGGGACAGAGAGUAGAGAGAGAGAGAGGUAGAGGGACAGAGAGUAGAGAGAGAGAGAGAGUAGAGGGACAGAGAGUAGAGAGAGAGAGAGAUAGAGGGACAGAGAGUAGAGAGAGAGGUAGAGGAACAGAGAGUAGAGAGAGAGGUAGAGGGACAGAGAGUAGAGAGAGAGAGGUAGAGGGACAGAGAGUAGAGAGAGAGAGGUAGAGGAACAGAGAGUAGAGAGAGAGAGGUAGAGGGACAGAGAGUAGAGAGAGAGGUAGAGGAACAGAGAGUAGAGAGAGAGGGGUAGAGGGACAGAGAGUAGAGAGAGCGAGAGAGGUAGAGGGACAGAGAGUAGAGAGAGAGAGAGGUAGAGGGACAGAGAGUAGAGAGAGAGAGAGGUAGAGGGACAGAGAGUAGAGAGAGAGAGAGAGUAGAGGGACAGAGAGUAGAGAGAGAGAGAGUAGAGGGACAGAGAGUAGAGAGAGAGGUAGAGGAACAGAGAGUAGAGAGAGAGGUAGAGGGACAGAGAGUAGAGAGAGAGAGGUAGAGGGACAGAGAGUAGAGAGAGAGAG
Molecule: long non-coding RNA, 1191 nt
Filed under: Salmo salar (Atlantic salmon)
Lineage: Eukaryota; Metazoa; Chordata; Actinopteri; Salmoniformes; Salmonidae
Description: lncRNA (ENSSSAG00000090512.1)
Source: RNAcentral